This 301-nucleotide ribosomal RNA is filed under the name uncultured bacterium. RNAcentral's name for it is "partial 16S ribosomal RNA". It matches the Rfam family "Bacterial small subunit ribosomal RNA", at positions 509 to 807 of the family's 1533-position model. The record is from RNAcentral.
CAGCCGCCGCGGUAAUACGAAGGGGGCUAGCGUUGCUCGGAAUCACUGGGCGUAAAGGGUGCGUAGGCGGGUCUUUAAGUCAGGGGUGAAAUCCUGGAGCUCAACUCCAGAACUGCCUUUGAUACUGAAGAUCUUGAGUUCGGGAGAGGUGAGUGGAACCGCGAGUGUAGAGGUGAAAUUCGUAGAUAUUCGCAAGAACACCAGUGGCGAAGGCGGCUCACUGGUCCAUUACUGACGCUGAGGUGCGAAAGCGAGGGGAGCAAACAGGAUUAGAUACCCGUGUAGUCCCUGUCUCUUAUAC